GAGCAAAAUGCCUGUUAACCGAAGUUUGAUUAAGAUUCUCUCCCUUCCCCAGGUCCCUGAACUUUGGCCUACCCUCAGCCUGUGUGAGUGAUAGAGAUAGGAGGCAGCCAAGGGUCCCCGGAGAAACCCCGCCUUCAAGCCUAAAACAGCUUGAAGGCUGAAAAACCAAACUGCCGGUCCCAGAUGAAGCCCACCCUUUUCCCGACUGAUUCGUUCUGAAUAAUGCGCACAUGCGCACUAGCGAGGACAGGCUGGAGCCUCUCGAAGUUUGCGCCCUUUGCAGGGGGGAGGAGCCUGGCCUCUCCAGUUCCUGUGUGGUAACCUGAGAUUCAAUCUGUGAGGCAGGAAACCUGCUAGCAGGGCUCUCUCUCUCUUUGCUGUGGGUUCCUGUUUACCUUUUUCUUAUAUUUUUUCCUUUUCAUCCAAUAAAUUCCAUUCCCCCUCACCCGUCAAAGUGUCUGUGUGCCUAACUUUUACUGGUUGUAUGACAAGAACCCAGUGUUUUCUACAACAUUUUUGGCGUCCGGACGUGGGGCUUGAAGAAGGGUUCAAGCAAUUCUCCUGCCUCAGCCUCCGAAGUAGCUGGAACUACAGGAGAAGGAGGGGAGAGGAAAAGAAAAAGGAAGUAAGAUCGAGAAGCUGUGGGGCCAAAGAAUGGAACAGAAUGUUGCAAUGGAGUGCUGAUUACUCUUCAGCACCAUUCUGGGAAGGAAAUGCCAAGACCACUCCCAUCUCUCAGAAUUACUCAUCUGAGCACAGACAACUGGCUCGGUGGAGAAUUAAUCCUGUAUGUUUUACAGUUCAGCUAAAACCAAAGUGGAUCUGUUGUUUUCCUUGCCCUAAAACUGAAGAUAAAAUUUUGUUAAAAUGGGAACGGUUAUUUCUAAAUGAAGGAAUGUUGGUUAACAGGUAAUUUUGCCCUUGUGCCACCUCUAAAGAUUCAAAUAUAAGAAAUAUUAUUUGUAGUGACCCUUUACAAAUAGAUCAACCACAAAAACAAAGAUUCUUGUAGCUGGCAUAUAUGUGAAUUUAUGAUCUGGAUCAGAGAAAACAUUUUAAAAACAACAAGAUUCAUUUAAUUAAAUACAUAUUUUCUUAAAACAAAAUUUAUCAAAUCAUAAGGAAUUUCACCAUUUCUGUAAUAACUUAUGAUGGAAAAUUCUGUGUCAUGCAAAUGCUAAGAAUGAUCUUCCCAGGUUCUCCCCUCCCUAUCUAUUUGAUUCUAUUUUUAUUGUUGUUUCUCUUGAAUGACACAAUUGAUCCAAUAAGCAGCGCCAUCUUUGUAUUAUCCAUUUGAUGACCCUAAGGACUUUAUUAAUAAUUUUCAAUCUGGCCUUUUUUAAUAAGUAGGCACAGUCACAGACAGUAAAAUUAAAAUAUCAACUAUUCCCUUUUGUAAAUAUGAAACAUCUGAGAUCCACCGCAUUAUAUGUGGAAUAAGGUUAGAUAAAAUUUACAUUUAGAAAAAACGUACCCCUGUCUUCAUUCAACCACUCACAAAC
Molecule: long non-coding RNA, 1502 nt
Filed under: Papio anubis (olive baboon)
Lineage: Eukaryota; Metazoa; Chordata; Mammalia; Primates; Cercopithecidae
Description: lncRNA (ENSPANG00000037551.1)
Source: RNAcentral